ACGGCUCAGUAACACGUAGUCAACUUACCCUAUGGACGAGGAUAAUCUCGGGAAACUGAGCAUAAUACUCGAUAGAUCAUAAUGCCUGGAAUGGUUUAUGGUUAAAAUGAUUCGUCGCCAUAGGAUGGGACUGCGGCCUAUCAGCUUGUUGGUGAGGUAAUGGCCCACCAAGGCGAUUACAGGUACGGGCUCUGAGAGGAGAAGCCCGGAGAUGGGUACUGAGACAAGGACCCAGGCCCUAUGGGGCGCAGCAGGCGAGAAAACUUUGCAAUGUGCGAAAGCACGACAAGGUUAAUCCGAGUGAUUUCUGCUAAAGAAAUCUUUUGCAAGUCAUAAAACCACUAGUGAAUAAGGGGUGGGCAAGUUCUGGUGUCAGCCGCCGCGGUAAAACCAGCACCUCAAGUGGUCAGGAGGAUUAUUGGGCCUAAAGCAUCCGUAGCCGGCUCUGUAAGUUUUCGGUUAAAUCUGUACGCUUAACGUACAGGCUGCCGGGAAUACUGCAGAGCUAGGGAGUGGGAGAAGUAGACGGUACUCGGGAGGAAGUGGUAUAAUGCUUUGAUCUCUCGAUGACCACCUGUGGCGAAGGCGGUCUACUAGAACACGUCCGACGGUGAGGGAUGAAAGCUGGGGGAGCAAACCGGAUUAGAUACCCGGGUAGUCCCAGCUGUAAACUAUGCAAACUCAGUGAUGCAUUGGCUUGUGGCCAAUGCAGUGCUGCAGGGAAGCCGUUAAGUUUGCCGCCUGGGAAGUACGUACGCAAGUAUGAAACUUAAAGGAAUUGGCGGGGGAGCAC
Molecule: ribosomal RNA, 793 nt
Filed under: uncultured crenarchaeote
Lineage: Archaea; Thermoproteati; Thermoproteota
Description: bacterial SSU rRNA
Rfam family: Archaeal small subunit ribosomal RNA
Source: RNAcentral